GACGAACGCUGGCGGCGUGCUUAACACAUGCAAGUCGAACGGAAAGGCCCUGCUUGUGUGGGGUGCUCGAGUGGCGAACGGGUGAGUAACACGGGAGUAACCUGCCCUUGACUUUGUGAUAACUUCAGGAAACUGGGGCUAAUACCGGCUAGGAGCUCCUGCUGCAUGGUGGGGGUUGGAAAUUUUCGGCGGUUGGGGAUGGACGCGCGGCUUAUCAGCUUGUUGGGGGGGGAGUGGCUUACCAAGGCUUUGACGGGUAGCCGGCAUGAGAGGGUGACCGGCCACAUUGGGACUGAGAUACGGCCCAGACGCGUACGGGAGGCAGCAGUGGGGAAUAUUGCACAAUGGGUGGAAGCCUGAUGCAGCAACGCCGCGUGCGGGAUGACGGCCUUCGGGUUGUAAACCGCUUUCGCCUGUGACGAAGCGUGAGUGACGGUAAUGGGUAAAGAAGCACCGGCUAACUACGUG
Molecule: ribosomal RNA, 468 nt
Filed under: uncultured bacterium
Lineage: Bacteria
Description: partial 16S ribosomal RNA
Rfam family: Bacterial small subunit ribosomal RNA
Source: RNAcentral